AACUUGAUAUAUUUCCUUUUGAAAAAUCGAAACAUUGGCAAUGCUUUUACUAGGCGCUUUAUUCUCCCUUUCUCACAAUCUGUUAUCCAGAAAAAGGUCUUGACUACAACUCUUGCAGGUAAGCAUUGCCAAAUCCCAUCUGAUGACCUUUGUCUUUGGUGCAAGACUGAAAGAAUUUAUUUCAUGUGUAAUAGACACUUGAGGCUAGUUAAUUAAAAGCUUAUAUUUGCAGCAGGGCAGGCCUCCCUCGCUAAGGACUGUCACCCCUACAGCCACUGAUGAUUUGACACCCCCUACUGUAGGGGUUGGCCUUUGGGAAGCUAUGGCAAUUGUAGUAAGGGACUCCAGGUUUGGAGCAAGGCACCACAUCCCCCUUGAGAGCCUCAUAGCUUAUGUACUUCUUCUCGGUGACAGCCCAUAGCAGCCUCCUGUUCUCCUCUGAGUUCAUCUCCAACACCACCCCAUCCUCCAGCAAGCAUCUUCCAACUUUUCUACUGCAAGGCAGCUUCGCCACCACCUCCACAGCAGUGCUCUUCUCCAGGAGGAGGAGAACAAGGAGAAGUGACACCAACAUGGGCGGAGUCUUCCUCGGAGUGAAGCCUGAGCUGAGCUUUGCCAUGACUUCUUCUUGCUCGUUUGUGACCUGCCUUCUCUUUGUUUCUGUGGGUGAGAGGCUUUAAUGAGAUGUCAGCUCUUCCACCUACUUUGGCUUCGCGGUCCGGGAGGAGCAGCAGCAACCAAGUCGUUGACUUCACACUGCUUUUAUGGGUGCGCGGACAAAUGGAUAGUGGAAUAUGGACUUUAUUAUUAGUAUAACUCAUGGUACAUUAUAAGAUUAUCAUUUUAUACGUGGAUUAUCUAAUUCACUUACUAAUUUGA
Long non-coding RNA from Musa acuminata AAA Group (dessert banana), 879 nucleotides. RefSeq lists it as uncharacterized. The record is from RefSeq and is a predicted model, not a curated record. NCBI's taxonomy places the organism in Eukaryota, Viridiplantae, Streptophyta, Magnoliopsida, Zingiberales, Musaceae. The transcript has 2 exons.